AGUGAACGCUGGCGGUAGGCCUAACACAUGCAAGUCGAACGGCAGCACAGUAAGAGCUUGCUCUUACGGGUGGCGAGUGGCGGACGGGUGAGGAAUACAUCGGAAUCUACUUUUUCGUGGGGGAUAACGUAGGGAAACUUACGCUAAUACCGCAUACGACCUACGGGUGAAAGCAGGGGAUCUUCGGACCUUGCGCGAUUGAAUGAGCCGAUGUCGGAUUAGCUAGUUGGCGGGGUAAAGGCCCACCAAGGCGACGAUCCGUAGCUGGUCUGAGAGGAUGAUACGCCACACUGGAAUUGAGACCCGGUCCAGCCUCCAACGGGGGGCGGAAGGGGGGAAUUUUGGAAAGGGGGCGGAAGCCUGACCCGGCCAGUCCGGGGGGGGAAAGAGGGCCUUCGGGUGGUAAAGCCCUUUUUUGGGGAAAAAAAAGCAGCAGGUUAAUCCCCCGCUGUUUGAAGGGCACCAAAAGAAAAAGCACCGGCAAACUGCGG
Molecule: ribosomal RNA, 491 nt
Filed under: uncultured bacterium
Lineage: Bacteria
Description: partial 16S ribosomal RNA
Rfam family: Bacterial small subunit ribosomal RNA
Source: RNAcentral